GGCCCAGACUCCUACGGGAGGCAGCAGUGGGGGAUAUUGCACAAUGGGGGAAACCCUGAUGCAGCGACGCCGCGUGGGCGAAGAAGUAUUUCGGUAUGUAAAGCCCUAUCAGCAGGGAAGAAGAAAUGACGGUACCUGAGUAAGAAGCACCGGCUAAAUACGUGCCAGCAGCCGCGGUAAUACGUAUGGUGCAAGCGUUAUCCGGAUUUACUGGGUGUAAAGGGAGCGCAGGCGGCACGGCAAGCCUGAUGUGAAAGCCCGCGGCCCAACCGCGGGACUGCAUUGGGAACUACCGGGCUGGAGUGCCGGAGAGGUAGGCGGAAUUCCUAGUGUAGCGGUGAAAUGCGUAGAUAUUAGGAGGAACACCAGUGGCGAAGGCGGCCUGCUGGACGACAACUGACGGUGAGGCGCGAAAGCGUGGGGAGCAAACAGGAUUAGAUACUAC
RNAcentral lists this ribosomal RNA (445 nucleotides) under uncultured bacterium. RNAcentral describes it as "bacterial SSU rRNA". It matches the Rfam family "Bacterial small subunit ribosomal RNA", at positions 328 to 786 of the family's 1533-position model. The record is from RNAcentral.